AUCGUGCAAUGAAAGCAGUGGAAGCCGAAGCAUGAAGUCCAUGGUGAAAUAAGAGGUGGAAUUAUUCAAUAUCGAUGUUUCGAGCGAAUAUGAGCAGCAUGGUUGCACGCAAAAUUUACUACAAUUAUUUUUCCAAACUAUUGUAUGCCUUAAUUGAUGGUAAGUAUUUAGUAUUUGGCAAAGUAUCUAUAUUCAUAUACCAUGAUUAUCGAUUGUUGAACCAAAUUCAUUAUUUUUGGGUCUCUUUUAGAAGGAACAACUAUGUCAUUGUUCAAAUUGCUAUACUUAGACGGUUUUACUGACGGUGCUAAUGUAUUCUUUAUUUGUUUCAUCCAUCAUUAUCAUGCAGGGAGGUAUAGGUUGUCGAUGAUGAUUAUGCAUUUGUUGAUGAUAUAUUUGUGUAUAGAGUUAGUAUGCUUUUCAAGUUGCUUUACCGAAACAUCCUUCAACAAACAACUUCUUUGGCAUGCUUGUAGGAAGACUAAUUGUUGGGAUUGGCUUGGGCUUGGGCCCUGUUGUUGCUGCUCUGUAUGUAACAGAGGUAUGUAAAUGUUUGCCUCUAUUUCAUUGGCAAGGAUAAAAGUAUAGUGGUUAUUCAUGUAAUUACUAUAUCGAAUAAUAGGUUUCUCCUGCUUUUGUGCGUGGUUAUAUAUCAAAGAGAUUUUUGGAUGGUAUGAUAUAAAUCUUAAAUUCAUAUUAUCUUAUAUUUAUAUUUCAUCUUUUCUAAAACAUGUCCUGAAUUUGUUAAUUCAGGUGGCUGGUUUGUUUUUGGGUGGGUAUCUACCAUACAUGCGUCUUCUGUGCAGAAAGUCCACAUUGGUUAUACAAGGUUGACACCUAAUACUAUUUCAU
This is an RNA transcript of Vicia villosa (hairy vetch), 852 nucleotides long. RefSeq lists it as uncharacterized. The transcript has 2 exons. Lineage: Eukaryota; Viridiplantae; Streptophyta; Magnoliopsida; Fabales; Fabaceae. The record is from RefSeq and is a predicted model, not a curated record.